This 96-nucleotide ribosomal RNA is filed under the name Phascolarctos cinereus (koala). Lineage: Eukaryota; Metazoa; Chordata; Mammalia; Diprotodontia; Phascolarctidae. The record is from RNAcentral.
CCACCCUGAAUAAGCCUGAUCUCAUCUGAUCUCAAAAGCUGAGCAGGGUGGGAUGUGAUUAGUACUUAGAUGGGAGAUGAACUAGGAAUAUCAAAU